GAGUAACCUGCCCUUGACUCUGGGAUAACCUCCGGGAAACGGAAGCUAAUACCGGGAUAUGACGCACGGAGGCAUCUCCUGUGCGUGGAAAGAACUUCGGUCAAGGAUGGACUCGCGGCCUAUCAGGUAGUUGGUGAGGUAACGGCUCACCAAGCCUACGACGGGUAGCCGGCCUGAGAGGGUGACCGGCCACACUGGGACUGAGACACGGCCCAGACUCCUACGGGAGGCAGCAGUGGGGAAUAUUGCACAAUGGGCGCAAGCCUGAUGCAGCAACGCCGCGUGAGGGACGACGGCCUUCGGGUUGUAAACCUCUUUUAGUAGGGAAGAAGCGAAAGUGACGGUACCUGCAGAAAAAGCAC
RNAcentral lists this ribosomal RNA (362 nucleotides) under Leifsonia lichenia. RNAcentral's name for it is "bacterial SSU rRNA". It matches the Rfam family "Bacterial small subunit ribosomal RNA", at positions 119 to 493 of the family's 1533-position model. The record is from RNAcentral. Lineage: Bacteria; Bacillati; Actinomycetota; Actinomycetes; Micrococcales; Microbacteriaceae.